UGUGCAGACUAAUCUCUGCACAAUCUUCCGAAACUACAAAAAACAAAAUAACUCCAGAGUUCUGGAAACCAUAAGGACACACACUGCUGAUUGUGGUCACCAUUUUCAAGCACUCACUGAGUAUCCCUUUCUUAGGAUUUACUGAAAGAAAAAACUCUGUUAAAUGGUGCAUUCUCAGUCCUUUGACUUUGAUCAUUAUCUGUCUGUAUGAGAAUCUUCCAGAUGAUGUGAAGCGUCUAGUCCUGCCCUGCAUCUGACCUUUGGCUUUGGCCGCUGAUAACAAGGCUGAGGUUGACCGCUGGUUUGACAACAGACUGAGGAACUACCUGAAGUUCCUCAACAGAAACCUGCUCCAGUCCUCUGACACACUCAACGCCUCCUGCUUACCCUUCAGCAGACUUGUGUAUCUACUGGGAUCCAAGCUCACUUUCAAUGGCUCAGCCAUAACUCAAGAUGAUGCGUACAGCACCAUAAAGACCUACCUCAACACAGGAAGUUCAGCAGCACCCAAGUGUUAUAGUCCCUCUGACCCAAAUCUCAACUCCACCGCCUGGUUCCUUAACUACAUUGGUGUGUUCAUCACCUUUGUGACCAUUGAAGACUUCAACACAUUUGGCUCAGAGUCAAC
This is a long non-coding RNA of Oncorhynchus gorbuscha (pink salmon), 628 nucleotides long. RefSeq lists it as uncharacterized. The record is from RefSeq and is a predicted model, not a curated record. Lineage: Eukaryota; Metazoa; Chordata; Actinopteri; Salmoniformes; Salmonidae. The transcript is spliced from 3 exons.